UAGGGAAUAUUGGUCAAUGGAUGCAAGUCUGAACCAGCCAUGCCGCGUGCAGGAAGAAGGCCUUAUGGGUUGUAAACUGCUUUUGCCAGGGGAUAAAACGAGCUUGCGAGCUUAAUUGAAGGUACCUGGUGAAUAAGCCACGGCUAACUACGUGCCAGCAGCCGCGGUAAUACGUAGGUGGCAAGCGUUGUCCGGAUUUAUUGGGUUUAAAGGGUGCGUAGGCGGUCUUUUAAGUCAGUGCUGAAAUACUCCAGCUUAACUGGAGGGGUGGCAUUGAUACUGGGAGACUUGAGUAUAGUUGAGGUAGGCGGAAUUGACGGUGUAGCGGUGAAAUGCUUAGAUAUCGUCAAGAACACCGAUAGUGAAGACAGCUUACUAAACUAUAACUGACGCUGAGGCA
This 400-nucleotide ribosomal RNA is filed under the name uncultured bacterium. RNAcentral's name for it is "bacterial SSU rRNA". It matches the Rfam family "Bacterial small subunit ribosomal RNA", at positions 355 to 753 of the family's 1533-position model. The record is from RNAcentral.